This 434-nucleotide unclassified non-coding RNA is filed under the name Hevea brasiliensis (rubber tree). The record is from RNAcentral. Lineage: Eukaryota; Viridiplantae; Streptophyta; Magnoliopsida; Malpighiales; Euphorbiaceae.
AUUUCAGUAGCUUCUCACAAUCGUAUAUAAAUAGGUGUCAAGCAAAUCAAUAAAGCAAUUUUUCGUUCUUUCAUUUUUAGCUUCUCUGCAUUCUUUGUGCACUGCCAUUUGUUGUAUCUAACCACUAAUCAAGGAUGGCUGUGUAUGCAUAACGAGAAAGGGAAGCAAGCAGUGAGUAAAAGGUAUCUUCAAUCAUCAUUCACACUAAUUUGGGUCAAAAUCUUGACGACAUUCUUUAAAAAAAAAAUGAUACAUUCAUAUAUUAAUAACAACACAAGAAAAUGUUGCCAUCUAUAUAUCACAAGGAGAAAUGCUAUGGCAUUCUAUUUGUGACCAUCCUUCCUUCACAUUUGAGUAUAUGCAGAGCAAAUCAAGCACACAAAAUCCUCAACUCACAAGUCAAUCCAGCAGAAAGCUCUAAAACACUUCAGCUA